This 58-nucleotide transfer RNA is filed under the name Coraebus cloueti. RNAcentral's name for it is "tRNA-Ser". The record is from RNAcentral. Lineage: Eukaryota; Metazoa; Arthropoda; Insecta; Coleoptera; Buprestidae.
GAAAUAAGUAAAAAGAAGCUUCUAACUUCCUAAUUAGCAGAAAUCUGUUAUUAUUUCU